Rattus norvegicus (Norway rat) is the source of this 3312-nucleotide non-coding RNA. Lineage: Eukaryota; Metazoa; Chordata; Mammalia; Rodentia; Muridae. The record is from RefSeq and is a predicted model, not a curated record.
UUUUUCUGGGCCUUGGUUUCCUCAUCAAGCUGCCCUGCAGGCAGCAGUCAUGAACUCCUGGCCCGUUUCUGUUUUUUUUCCCUAUUAUGCUGUAGGAGCCUCUGUGGAGAAUACAGUUGGGAGAGUGGCUGCCCACAGACCCAGGGCACAGGCACUUUGGCAACUGGACAGACAGUUGGAGUGGUUCACAGUGCUGGGAGCAGCUUGAGAAUGUACCUCCUGUCCGGGCAGACCUCCUUUUCUUGGUAGGUCACUGUGGUGCUUCUCACAUGAGCUGUGAGCCGUAGCCCUGGAAUUCUCAGUAUGUGCAAGGUGAGUGUUCAGUAUGUGUUUCUCUUCGACAGCCUCACUCAUUUCAGAGACGGAAAUCACUGAGGGCUGGACAUCAGAGACUUUCCAGGGCUAUUAAGUCUGUCUGAGUUCCGGGUCUGAGUCCCUCCCUACACCCCCGCCCCGUACUCAGUGGACAGUUCACACCGUCCAUAGAUCCUCACCUGCUCCCACGUUCAAUCAGGGGCUUCUCGCUCUCUUCCUCCAGAGAGAGCAUGGCCAGCUUCCUGCGUAUGAGGAUGGAUACUUUCUGCUUUGGGGGCUCCAUUCCUGACAGGAAAGAGGUGUGUUAUUGACUGUGACCUCGCGGACAGCUUGAGAAGCAGGGACCUGACACGUGGUCAUAUUUAGAGACGAGAGACCUCACCCUGGAAAGAAUGGUGAAUGCUGCUUAUCGGAUGUUUAGCCGGGGGAUCCAACCGCGGCAUGAUUUCCUGGUAAGGAGAGCGGGGCUCUGAGAGUGAGUGUAGCACUCUUCAAGAGAGCAGCUGGCAAUGCACACCUCCCACUAUCCAACCCUCCAUCUUUCGGUCUGUCCAUCUGUCUUUCCAGUAUGGGGCCUCUGCUCCCUGACAUGUUCACCAGGCCCCAGUAGUCACCAAACGGAAACCAAGAAACUAGCUGGAUACAUGCCUAUGGCCCGCACCAGGAAGUCGAGGCAGAUUGGUCUCCUGCACUAAUGCAUAUUUCAAGAGCUUCUUCAGGCGCAGGGGGACUCUGGUGGUCUCUUAACCUGCAGCUCCAUCUCAGCCAUGCUAUGCCCACAUUCUUCCUCGAAGGCGGGGGUUGGCUGAGUGCCUUGUGCCGUCAUUGCCACAGGGACUGCUUCUUUUGGGAAACGUGUGUCUGGGUUUUGUGUGCUUUUAAGACUGACCUGUGAGAGUUCUGUGCACCCCAGGGAUAGCUGAUCUUUCUCUGCCUCACGGGUUGUGAGGAGGAACACUCUUCAGAUUUUUUGUUUCUUUCCAUACUGAACUUCCCCCCACCCCCAUUUUAGUUUUGGCCACAAAAGUACCGCCAUUUCCUUUAUGUCCUCUGAUUCUCAGUCUGUAUAUUCAGGAUCAGUGCCCUAACCCUAAGAGUAUGAACCCAUUCCCUGCCAGGGUUUUAUUUUGAUAUUUACUCUUCAGUUCGGCUGGCAUUUACUUGCUCAGCCAAAACAUUGUUUUUCUGAUGAAAAUAAGUAAAAAUCAAUCAGUCCACUUGUGAUGUACGUUAAAUUAGUAAACCAUCAUGUGUUCUUUGAGCUCACUAAGAAGCUGGCCCUGGAAGGAGCCUGCUCACCCCGUUCCUCACUUCAGACCCAAGCAUGUUUGUCUCAAAGCAUCCUCCGAAGCCACAAGGGAAUAGGCUGCCCAAACUCUGUGAUGUGGAGAGAAGAAAACAUCAAAAUGGCCCUAGAAGAAUGUCCUUGAGAACAACUAGAAUCCCUACUACUUCCAACAGAGGGCCACAGCACAAGGCUGGAGUACCACUUACGUGGAACCUGGAUGUCAUCAAUGGUGAUCACUUCAUCCAACUGUAUCAGGAACCUCUCUGUGAAGGAGGCCAAAUUCGCUAUGAAGAAGCGGGCAUACUUCUUGGCAGUUUCCUGGAAGAAACAGAGUGAAAGUGGACCUCAGAAACAAGCCGCUACCAGGCUAGCAGGAGAUCAUCUGGUCCACCUUCUGCUGCCUCAGCUCCUCCCUGAUUCGUAGCGACUCCAUUUGACUGCUGUAUGUGGGGUGGCCAAGAUUCGGAUGGAGCUUCUGAGCGUUUUCUUCCUUCAAUCAAACAAGGCAGAAAUGAGCAGGGAUUUCAACUAACACUCGAAAUCAGGACCCAUGUCUUCUGUCCUGCGUGUAGAUGGGUGUGUCCCGUGUGUGAUCUGAGUGUGGGAAGAAGAUAGGAGUGUGGUUGGUACUCAGUGGGUUGGAAAGAAGGUGAGCUAAGUACCUGUUCCAGCACAAUCUGGGUCUUUAGCCCAAUAAAGUCAGCACCAAUCAUAUCCCACAGCACCAAGGGACAUUGUCUGACUAUUGAUCUCAAUGACCAAGGCCCUAUCAAAGAUUUCAAACACAGCCUAGAGUUCGUUUGGGGAGUGCCUUGAACCCCAGAGAUCUCUAUUGGCUUAGUUACCAAUUUGCUGGUAUGCCCUGUCCCCAGCAGCCUUUCUCAUGACCUGCCUCCAUUUUCAACUCCCUUCACUCCUGGCCCCGUGACCAUCACCUUCUCCUUCUCUAGCUGCUUCUGCUGCUGCUCAAACUGCUCCUGGACCUCCUUCAUGGAUGCAUGAAACUUGCUCCAGUGCUGUUCCUUGUAGUUCUCUGUCACAAGCCAACACACCUGGGGCAGCAGCUCCUCAAACCUCCUCACCUGGGCACGUAAUUCUGCAGGAAUCGAGGGGAAGGUAUCAGGAACAGCAGAAGAGAUGGGAGUUGCUGAAGCCAUGUCCCUGACACAGGGAGAACAUUGGUCUCCAGUGUGAUAAGAGCUAGUCUGUCCAAAGGAGGUCUGCAGCCAGACCGAGGAUAUAGGGAGGGUGCGGCUGCUACAAGGAAGAGAGCAGAAGUCCCCACCAGCAGAGUAGGCAUCAAUGAGAGAGGAGCACAGUCUACAGGGCUUCCCGAGAACACUGGCCUCAGGGCCUUGGCUUUGAGGACAACCAUAGAGAAUGGGGUCCCUCUGAGCUCACUGGGAAAUGUGCUGUACAGCUUGGAUUUCACUCAUUCUGCAAUCAUGGGCUGUGGCCUGUCAUUCCCUGUGAUUAAUCCCCAAGGUAGCCUACCUUGGUGUACAGACAAGAAAACAGAGGCUCAGAGAGGUACAAUCACCUUGCUGAAGUCGAACAGCUUCGAGAUAACAGGGCUAAGGGUUGGCCCCAGGUCUGGGUGCUUCCUCAUGCCCCCUUCCCUGACAUACUUCCCCCUGCUACCUCUGAAAUCACACCACAGAGAUCAAUAAAGUGAUAUGCCCCGAGGAAUAUUAUUCUGUGAUUUUUUA